GAAAUGCGAUACGCAAUGCGAAUUGCAGAAUUCCGCGAGUCAUCAGAUCUUUGAACGCAACUGGCGCCAGGGGGAUAUCCUUCUGGCAUGCUUGUUUCAGUGUCUAGAAACAUCACACAUCUUAAUGUGAUUGAAUGUCGUCAAAAAGCAUUCUCUCAUGAAAAAUGACAGUGUGGAUCUUUUGGUCCAAUGAAGUAGUCACAUGUCACAAUGUGAUUUCAUUGGUAACACCGAAUUAUCCGUAAACAUUGACUAGACAACACAUCUUCAAUAUGCAUCUGAAAUCAAGCAAGGUCACCUGCUGAACUUAA
This 311-nucleotide unclassified non-coding RNA is filed under the name uncultured fungus. RNAcentral describes it as "sequence contains ITS1". The stretch from base 1 to 105 matches the Rfam family "5.8S ribosomal RNA", at positions 50 to 154 of the family's 154-position model. The record is from RNAcentral. Lineage: Eukaryota; Fungi.